This 132-nucleotide transfer RNA is filed under the name Chlorobiota bacterium. RNAcentral's name for it is "tRNA-OTHER". Lineage: Bacteria; Pseudomonadati; Chlorobiota. The record is from RNAcentral.
GGAUACACCUGGCUCAAAAAACGAAAUAUUAUCUGACAUCGUGAAUCGGGCGGUCUCGCCACGAAAGUGGUCCCUUCGGGAAAAACCGUUGUACCUGUUUGGGUACCGUGGGUUCGAAUCCCACCCUCUCCG